Long non-coding RNA from Trifolium pratense (red clover), 1346 nucleotides. RefSeq lists it as uncharacterized. The transcript is spliced from 6 exons. NCBI's taxonomy places the organism in Eukaryota, Viridiplantae, Streptophyta, Magnoliopsida, Fabales, Fabaceae. The record is from RefSeq and is a predicted model, not a curated record.
AAAUUAAUAAAAAUUAUAUUAUAAAACACUUAAAUUAAUAAAAAUAAAAAUAUUAGUUUUCGCCAACAAUUAUCUUCCAUCUCUGAUGAACUAACCCUCAAUCUCACAAACCCUCAAUCUCCUUAAACUCUCUUCAGUUCCCAACUUGUCAAUUUUGACACAAAUCCACAAUCUAAACCAACUCUUUUCUCACCUUUUCAUCAUUUCACACUUCUAUCUCAUUCCUUUCCUCUUCAAUUUCUCUUCACUUCCAACUCCUUCCGUUUCCAAUCCCCAACUUUCAGUUUCUAGGGUUUUACUUCUCUAUUCUCAAUUUCUAGGGUUUUAACCCGAUCCAAUGGAACCUCGUAUUGGUAACAAGUUCCUUCUUGGCUGCAAAAUUGGUAGCGGAUCCUUCGGCGAGAUCUAUCUCGGUACAAAUGUUCAGACAAAUGAAGAAGUUGCAAUUAAGCUUGUUUGGCGAAAGAGAAGAUUGGUGGAUUUAGAAAUUGUCACCACAUAUGAAACGAAGAACCCUAAAAUCAAAGGAAUUGGAAAUUGAUAGUCACAGAAACUUCUCUCAACUCGCUAAUUCUCUCUGCCGUUCAGUCAUCAUUUCACUGCCGUUGACUCCUCCUUCAAUUGGAUGCUGAUAUUGCUUGUCCUAGUAUCGUGUCGGUGCAUAAAUUCGAUGUUAAGAAGGAGUAUGAGAUGAUUCAGAACUAUAAGAUUCUUCACUAUCAUGCUACAAAUCUUUAAGUCUUUUGUUUUGUUCUUCAAAAUACAGGUUUUGCCACAUUCCCCCCAUUCUUUUCAAUUGUUGCUCAAAUUAGAUGGACCGAUCUCUUGAAGAGAAAAUUUCACAAUUGGACAGACAUCUGGAACAUUUGAGUGAAUUGACAGUGCUUUUGGGGUUUGUAAUGAUAUUAGUGUCAUAUCGAUUUACAGGAACAACAUCUGGAACAUUUGAGUCAAUUGACACAAAAUGAAGACAGUCGAAAAAGAUGAUGAAAUUAAGUUGCACAUCAUUGCCACUAUUUCAGCACUUGUACCAAAAUAUCUUGCUAAUGCUAGAUUGGUAUAAUUGAAUCUUUUAGCAUCUAUAUAUGGUUUUUUUUACAAUUGAUGCAAUCAUUUACAUAGGUCGUAGGUAGGUGAAUUUCUAUUAAACCGGUGUAUUUAAAUUUUUUCUAGAUUCAUAGGCAUAUUGGUCCAAGGAUGGAGUAUGAGUUAUACUAAUGACAUUAUUUUGUCGCAUUUCUAAGUUAUUAAUUGUAUAAAUACAAUUGUGUUCUUGCCUUUGACUUUUUAUCGUUGGUUUUGAUGACUUUAAUGAGUAUAUUGGUAGAGAUUUUAUGGUUGCGAGA